GGCCUACGGGGGGCAGCAGUGGGGAAUCUUGCACAAUGGAGGAAACUCUGAUGCAGCGAUGCCGCGUGAGUGAAGAAGGCCCUUGGGUUGUAAAGCUCUUUUGUCAGGAAAGAUAAUGACUGUACCUGAAGAAUAAGGUCCGGCUAACUUCGUGCCAGCAGCCGCGGUAAUACGAAGGGACCUAGCGUAAUUCGGAAUUACUGGGCGUAAAGCGCGCGUAGGCGGUUAAGUAAGUUAAUUGUGAAAGCCCGAAGCUCAACUUCGGAAUUGCAAUUAAAACUACUUAGCUAGAGUUUAUCAGAGGAAAGCGGAAUACAUAGUGUAGAGGUGAAAUUCGUAGAUAUUAUGUAGAACACCAGUUGCGAAGGCGGCUUUCUGGGAUAACACUGACGCUGAGGUGCGAAAGUAUGGGUAGCGAAGAGGAUUAGAUACCCUCGUAGUCCAUACCGUAAACGAUGAUUGUUAGAUGUUGGAAAUUUAUUUUCAGUAUCACAGCUAACGCGUUAAACAAUCCGCCUGGGGAGUACGACCGCAAGGUUAAAACUCAAAUGAAUUGACGGGGACCCGCACAAGCGGUGGAGCAUGUGGUUUAAUUCGAAGCUACGCGCAGAACCUUACCAACACUUGACAUGUCUGUCGCGGAUUCCAGAGAUGGAUUCCUUCGGUUCGGCCGGACAGAACACAGGUGCUGCAUGGCUGUCGUCAGCUCGUGUCGUGAGAUGUUGGGUUAAGUCCCGCAACGAGCGCAACCCCUACUUCUAGUUGCCAUCAGGUUAAGCUGGGCACUCUAGUAGGACUGCCUGUGAUAAGCAGGAGGAAGGUUGGGAUGACGUCAAGUCCUCAUGGCCCUUACGUGUUGGGCUACACACGUGCUACAAUGGCAGUGACAAUGAGAUGCUAAACGGCGACGUUAAGCUAAACUCAAAAACCUGCCUCAGUUCGGAUUGCACUCUGCAACUCGAGUGCAUGAAGCUGGAAUCGCUAGUAAUCGCUCAUCAGCGCGGAGCGGUGAAUACGUUCCCGGGUCUUGUACACACCGCCCGUC
RNAcentral lists this ribosomal RNA (1045 nucleotides) under uncultured Alphaproteobacteria bacterium. RNAcentral describes it as "bacterial SSU rRNA". It matches the Rfam family "Bacterial small subunit ribosomal RNA", at positions 335 to 1398 of the family's 1533-position model. The record is from RNAcentral. Lineage: Bacteria; Pseudomonadati; Pseudomonadota; Alphaproteobacteria.